This 379-nucleotide ribosomal RNA is filed under the name uncultured cyanobacterium. RNAcentral's name for it is "bacterial SSU rRNA". It matches the Rfam family "Bacterial small subunit ribosomal RNA", at positions 376 to 770 of the family's 1533-position model. Lineage: Bacteria; Bacillati; Cyanobacteriota. The record is from RNAcentral.
GGCAACCCUGACGGAGCAACGCCGCGUGGGGGAGGAAUGUCUGUGGAUUGUAAACCCCUUUUCUCAGGGAAGAAGUUCUGACGGUACCUGAGGAAUCAGCAUCGGCUAACUCCGUGCCAGCAGCCGCGGUAAGACGGAGGAUGCAAGCGUUAUCCGGAAUUAUUGGGCGUAAAGCGUCCGCAGGGGGCGCAUCAAGUCUGCUGUCAAAGGUCGGAGCUUAACUCCGGUUCGGCAGUGGAAACUGGUGCGCUAGAGGGCGACAGGGGUAGAGGGAAUUCCCAGUGUAGCGGUGAAAUGCGUAGAGAUUGGGAAGAACACCGGUGGCGAAAGCGCUCUACUGGGUCGCACCUGACCCUCAGGGACGAAAGCUAAGGUAGCG